Molecule: ribosomal RNA, 492 nt
Filed under: uncultured bacterium
Lineage: Bacteria
Description: partial 16S ribosomal RNA
Rfam family: Bacterial small subunit ribosomal RNA
Source: RNAcentral
AGUGAACGCUGGCGGUAGGCCUAACACAUGCAAGUCGAACGGCAGCACAGUAAGAGCUUGCUCUUACGGGUGGCGAGUGGCGGACGGGUGAGGAAUACAUCGGAAUCUACUUUUUCGUGGGGGAUAACGUAGGGAAACUUACGCUAAUACCGCAUACGACCUACGGGUGAAAGCAGGGGAUCUUCGGACCUUGCGCGAUUGAAUGAGCCGAUGUCGGAUUAGCUAGUUGGCGGGGUAAAGGCCCACCAAGGCGACGAUCCGUAGCUGGUCUGAGAGGAUGAUCAGCCACACUGGAACUGAGACACGGGCCAGACUCCUACGGGAGGCAGCAGUGGGGAAUAUUGGACAAUGGGCGCAAGCCUGAUCCAGCCAUACCGCGUGGGUGAAGAAGGCCUUCGGGUUGUAAAGCCCUUUUGUUGGGAAAGAAAAGCAGCAGGUUAAUACCCCGCCGUUCUGACGGUACCCAAAGAAUAGGCACCGGCUAACUUCGUG